Molecule: long non-coding RNA, 579 nt
Organism: Oreochromis aureus
Lineage: Eukaryota; Metazoa; Chordata; Actinopteri; Cichliformes; Cichlidae
Source: Ensembl
CUGUUCUUCUUUUAUAAUAUAUAAUAAAUACACUUUUGGUUAUUAGAGGCAAUUCCAUGUAUUAUAUUUUCAAUUUGUUUCCUUUUUGUUAAAAAAAAUUUUUAUUGGUGAAAUACAGCCAAAUAAACCAAAACAAAAACGUUUCGAGUCCAAUUAAAAUGAACCAUCUGCAGUAUUUGUGUACACUGGUAAAAAAACAAACAUUUAAAGUGUUUUUCUUAAAUAUUUAGGUUGUAAAUGCAACAACUCAACAUGAUUUGGAGAAAGCAGUCAGCUGCUGCGACUCAUGGCGAUAUCAAGUUGAAGGUCUUCCACUCACAGUCACCAUGGCCAAUAAAGAUCUGUUUGUGAAAAAUGCAGCUCUAUACCUUGCAGUCCUGCAACGGCAAAGCUGUUUCGAUCAACUAACUGAUGGCUUGUCCUACUAUGGAAGAGAACCCCAGUUUGCGUGUUCUGCUUGACCUAUCGGGGGAGGACAAAGAUCUGACAGCCAGUUUAAUUGCUGGGGUUCUCAGGCCAAGCUAUUCUGUCCUUGGGAGCAACAGAAGAGUUAGAGAGGAGCUGAUGGUGGUCAAAUUU